This 402-nucleotide ribosomal RNA is filed under the name uncultured bacterium. RNAcentral's name for it is "bacterial SSU rRNA". It matches the Rfam family "Bacterial small subunit ribosomal RNA", at positions 355 to 774 of the family's 1533-position model. The record is from RNAcentral.
CAAGGAAUUUUCGUCAAUGGGCGCAAGCCUGAACGAGCAACGCCGCGUGGAGGAUGACGGCCUUCGGGUUGUAAACUCCUUUUCCGGGGGAUGAUAGUGACCGUACCCUGGGAAUAAGGCUCGGCUAACUCUGUGCCAGCAGCCGCGGUAAGACAGAGGAGCCAAGCGUUGUCCGGAUUGACUGGGCGUAAAGCGCACGCAGGCGGUUGGGCACGUGGGGUGUGAAAGCGGCCCGCUUAACGGGCCGAGGCCAUCCCAUACGGCCCGACUGGAGCCUGGCAGAGGUUCGUGGAAUUGCCGGUGUAGUGGUGAAAUGCGUAGAGAUCGGCAGGAACACCAAGGGGGAAACCAGCGAACUGGGCCAGAGCUGACGCUCAGGUGCGAAAGCGUGGGGAGCGAACC